This 21-nucleotide microRNA is filed under the name Rattus norvegicus (Norway rat). Its description in RNAcentral is "rno-miR-741-5p". Its record names the gene rno-miR-741-5p. Lineage: Eukaryota; Metazoa; Chordata; Mammalia; Rodentia; Muridae. The record is from miRBase by way of RNAcentral.
UACAUAGAUUGGUACCUAUCA